Amblyraja radiata (thorny skate) is the source of this 194-nucleotide long non-coding RNA. RefSeq lists it as uncharacterized. The record is from RefSeq and is a predicted model, not a curated record. Lineage: Eukaryota; Metazoa; Chordata; Chondrichthyes; Rajiformes; Rajidae. The transcript is spliced from 3 exons.
UUGAGUGACAUGAUGUUCAUGCGGGCGCCGGUAUUGGCUUUGGCGAUCAGUGGUUUGUUAUUGAUUAUCAUGGUCACAGCAGGAUCAGUCACUUUGCCUGGGGUGCGCAGGUUUAGGGAAAGUUCGGUAGGCUCAGUGUCUGUGCUAUCAGUCGUUCCCGUGGGAAGAUUCGUCCUGCUCAUGGAUGAAUGAAA